Molecule: ribosomal RNA, 435 nt
Filed under: Blastocystis sp.
Lineage: Eukaryota; Bigyra; Opalinata; Blastocystidae
Description: SSU rRNA
Rfam family: Eukaryotic small subunit ribosomal RNA
Source: RNAcentral
UAAAUCACAAUGCGGGACUAUCAGUCUUGCAAUUGGAUUGAGAACAAUGUACAACUCUUAUCGAUAAGCCAUUGGAGGGCAAGUCUGGUGCCAGCAGCCGCGGUAAUUCCAGCUCCAAUAGCGUAUAUUAACGUUGUUGCAGUUAAAAAGCUCGUAGUUGAAGUGUGGGUGAUCGCUGUUGUGAGACUUCGGUCUCUCGACAGUAAGUCACCCCCUUCCAGUAUCCAGUAGUGGGUAUUCACUUACUUACUAUUGUGUGUUGGUCGUUUACUGUGAGAAAAUUAGAGUGUUCAAAGCAGGCGUUUGCUUGAAUAGAUUAGCAUGGAAUAAUAAUUGAAGGCUUUCGUGUUCGAUUUGAUUGGUUUGUUCAUGGAAGCAAGGUUAAAAGGAACAGUUGGGGGUAUUCAUAUUCACUAGUUAGAGGUGAAAUUCUCG